CACGUAGGGGGCGAGCGUUGUCCGGAUUCAUUGGGCGUAAAGGGCGCGCAGGCGGCCCGGAAAGUCGGAUGCGAAAACUCGAGGCUCAACCUCGAGCGUGCACCCGAUACUGCCGGGCUUGAGGCAGGUAGGGGAGAUCGGAAUUCCUGGUGUAGCGGUGAAAUGCGCAGAUAUCAGGAGGAACACCGGUGGCGAAGGCGGAUCUCUGGGCCUUACCUGACGCUCAGGCGCGAAAGCUAGGGGAGCGAACUGG
Molecule: ribosomal RNA, 253 nt
Filed under: uncultured bacterium
Lineage: Bacteria
Description: partial 16S ribosomal RNA
Rfam family: Bacterial small subunit ribosomal RNA
Source: RNAcentral